UAUUUUGUUUUUCCUUACUCCCACCCUUCCUGGAAAUCUUUCGGCGUGUCACACCGCCAAAGGGCUGGCUGUCCUUUCCGUCAGUCAAAAACAUACACUGCUCUUCUGGAGCUGUUUGUUUCAAGGUUAUUCAGAUUUUUGAGUCUGGUCAAUACAUUAAAAAAAGAAGGACUGAACUAUAUUUCUUCAAAAAAUGAAGUAGCUUCAAGUUUGAGCGUAAGGUGGUUUUGAUGUCGCCUCUCUGCUAACCCGAGCCUUCCACUCCGUGUGUGCACAGGGUUUAGCUCCGGGCAGUGUUGCCACCUACCCGUGAAUUGUGUAAGUUACUCCCAGCACUGGAAGGUGAAGAUGCAGCGCCUUACUCGAGCACUCGGCUUGUUGAAAAGGCCAUGUGGUCCUUCUCAGCAGUGUCCAGCUGGAGGAUAUCAUGUCCCAACAAUUUGGAAUUAGGAACCAUCUCUGCUUUCCAGGCUUGAUUUUCUUCAAAUUCGUGCAUCACAACAAGCUUUUACGGUGAGGACUUGACUUUCUGCUCAGCAGCUGCGAGGAAGAAAUAAGCACGGAAAGAGACUUCACUGAAGAGCAUGGGCUGAAAACAUGAUUUCCCAUAUUUCUUUUUCAUGUAAAGACAUUUGAAGACUUGAGAAUUAAAAUUACGUGUUUUGAAUUAA
Molecule: long non-coding RNA, 671 nt
Organism: Prinia subflava (tawny-flanked prinia)
Lineage: Eukaryota; Metazoa; Chordata; Aves; Passeriformes; Cisticolidae
Exons: 4
Source: RefSeq, a predicted model, not a curated record